GAUGAACGCUGGCGGCGUGCCUAAUACAUGCAAGUCGAGCGAACAGACGAGGAGCUUGCUCCUCUGACGUUAGCGGCGGACGGGUGAGUAACACGUGGAUAACCUGCCUAUAAGACUGGGAUAACUUCGGGAAACCGGAGCUAAUACCGGAUAAUAUAUUGAACCGCAUGGUUCAAUAGUGAAAGACGGUUUUGCUGUCACUUAUAGAUGGAUCCGCGCCGCAUUAGCUAGUUGGUAAGGUAACGGCUUACCAAGGCAACGAUGCGUAGCCGACCUGAGAGGGUGAUCGGCCACACUGGAACUGAGACACGGUCCAGACUCCUACGGGAGGCAGCAGUAGGGAAUCUUCAGCAAUGGGCGAAAGCCUGACGGAGCAACGCCGCGUGAGUGAUGAAGGUCUUCGGAUCGUAAAACUCUGUUAUUAGGGAAGAACAAAUGUGUAAGUAACUAUGCACGUCUUGACGGUACCUAAUCAGAAAGCCACGGCUAACUACGUG
This 497-nucleotide ribosomal RNA is filed under the name uncultured bacterium. RNAcentral describes it as "partial 16S ribosomal RNA". It matches the Rfam family "Bacterial small subunit ribosomal RNA", at positions 28 to 507 of the family's 1533-position model. The record is from RNAcentral.